Daucus carota subsp. sativus is the source of this 466-nucleotide long non-coding RNA. RefSeq lists it as uncharacterized. NCBI's taxonomy places the organism in Eukaryota, Viridiplantae, Streptophyta, Magnoliopsida, Apiales, Apiaceae. The transcript is spliced from 3 exons. The record is from RefSeq and is a predicted model, not a curated record.
UUACUUUUUUAUCCCAAUAAAUACUGUGUCGAAAAGGACAGUGAGUGACACUCAUCUCCCCUCUGGCCCCUCUCUCUCUCUCUGGUCUCUAUCUCUCUCCCUUAGCCUCAAGAUCAAGAAAAAUGACUACCUCUAAGCGUCUCGCAGAAAGAAAGAUUGCAAAGUUUGAGAAGAACAUAUCGAGGAAAGGAUCGUCUGCAAACUCAUGGAAGAAGAAACUCACAGCUGAGAACAUUGCUCUUGCGCUCUUUGCCUCCGUGAUUAUUGGAUCAUUCGUGUACCAGAUAAUCAAGCUGGCAAUGAAUGCGGAAUAGAGCAAGGAGAUAGCCAUGGUGUAGAUCAUUAACAAAAGAAGCUUCUGCCAUAGUAAAAGUUUAGACAGUUUUUUCUUUACCGGAUUGAACGUUACCUGUCAGAUUAAAUAAUUGAACUUCUGUUUUAAUGAUCUCUUACCUAUUUUCGUUAA